This 422-nucleotide ribosomal RNA is filed under the name uncultured bacterium. Its description in RNAcentral is "bacterial SSU rRNA". It matches the Rfam family "Bacterial small subunit ribosomal RNA", at positions 355 to 774 of the family's 1533-position model. The record is from RNAcentral.
UAAGGAAUAUUGGACAAUGGAGGCAACUCUGAUCCAGCCAUGCCGCGUGACGGAAUAAGGCCCUAUGGGUUGUAAACUUCUUUUAGACGGGACAAAACCCCUUUACGUGUAAAGGGUUGAUGGUACUGUCAGAAUAAGCAUCGGCUAACUUCGUGCCAGCAGCCGCGGUAAUACGAAGGAUGCAAGCGUUAUCCGGAAUUAUUGGGUUUAAAGGGUGCGUAGGCGGACUAAUAAGUCAGUGGUGAAAGCCUGCAGCUUAACUGCAGAAUUGCCAUUGAUACUGUUAGUCUUGAGUACAGUUGAGGUAGGCGGAAUGUGUCAUGUAGCGGUGAAAUGCUUAGAUAUGACACAGAACACCGAUUGCGAAGGCAGCUUGCUAAGCUGUAACUGACGCUGAGGCACGAAAGCGUGGGGAGCAAACA